GGUCUCGUGGUGUAGUGGUUAUCACAUUUGUCUUACACACAAAAGGUCUCCAGUUCGAACCUGGACGGGACCA
Non-coding RNA from Chytridium lagenaria, 73 nucleotides. NCBI's taxonomy places the organism in Eukaryota, Fungi, Chytridiomycota, Chytridiomycetes, Chytridiales, Chytridiaceae. The record is from the annotation of a GenBank genome assembly.